CCCCUAGAUGUUCUGGGCCGCACGCGCGCUACACUGAACAGUUCAACAAGUCUUAACCUUGGCCGAUAGGUCUGGGUAAUCUUUGAACGCUGUUCGUGAUUGGGAUAGACCUUUGCAAUUAUGGGUCUUCAACGAGGUAUUCCUAGUAAACGCAAGUCAUCAGCUUGCAUUGAUUACGUCCCUGCCCUUUGUACACACCGCCCGUCGCACCUACCGAUUGAAUGGUCCGGUGAAAUCUCGGGACGGCGGCUUGGUCGCUUGCGUCCGACUGCUGAAACUUGAUUAAACCAUAUCAUUUAGAGGAAGGUGAAGUCGUAACA
RNAcentral lists this ribosomal RNA (320 nucleotides) under uncultured eukaryote. RNAcentral describes it as "partial 18S ribosomal RNA". It matches the Rfam family "Eukaryotic small subunit ribosomal RNA", at positions 1470 to 1796 of the family's 1831-position model. The record is from RNAcentral.